Molecule: RNA transcript, 1049 nt
Organism: Perognathus longimembris pacificus (Pacific pocket mouse)
Lineage: Eukaryota; Metazoa; Chordata; Mammalia; Rodentia; Heteromyidae
Gene name: magnesium transporter NIPA1-like
Exons: 1
Source: RefSeq, a predicted model, not a curated record
CCAAGCCCCGCCGUCAUGUCGCUGGGCCUGGGAGUGGCCGUCGUGUCGAGCCUGGUGAACGGGUCCAUGGUCAUGCUGCAGAAGAAGGGCAUCGUGCAUGCCAAGCGGCGAGGUACCUCCUAUCUAACAGACAUUGUGUGGUGGGCUGGCAGGAUUGCAAUGGCUGUUGGACAGAUUGGGAACUUCCUGGCUUACAUUGCAGUUCCCACGGUCCUGGUGCCCUUGGAGUGCCAUUUGGGUCCAUUUUAGCUUCUUGUCUUCUGAAGGAAAAGCUCAACAUCUUAGGCAAGUUGGGAUGUCUGCUGAGCUCUGCAGGUUCUGUUGUGCUGAUUAUUCAUUCCCCGAAGUCCAAGAGUGUCACCACACAGGCUGAGCUGGAGGAGAAGCUGACCAAUCCAGUGUUUGUGGGCUACCUCUGCAUUGUGUUGCUCCUGCUGCUGCUGCUGGUCUUCUGGAUUGUGCCGGCCUACAGGCCCACCAACAUCAUGGUCUAUAUCAGCAUCUGCUCCUUGCUGGGGAGUUUCACUGUGUCUUCUACCAAGGGCAUCGGACUGGCAGCUCAGGACAUCUUACACAACAGCUCAUCCAGUCGGAGAGCCCUGUGCUUGUGCUUGGUGCUCUUGGCUGUUCUGGGCUGCAGCAUCAUCGUCCAGUUCAGGUCCAUCAACAGGCACUGGAGGGCUUCGAUUCCUCUGUGUUUGGAGCCAUCUACUAUGUGGUGUUCACCACAUUGGUCCUGCUGGCCUCAGCUAUACUCUUCCGGGAAUGGAGCCACCUGGGGCUAGUUGACUUUUUGGGCAUGGCCUGUGCAUUCACAACUGUCUGUGGGAAUUGUCUUGAUCCAGAUGUUUAAAGAGUUCAAUUUCAACCUUGGAGAGAUGAACGAAUCUAAUAUGAAAACAGACUAGGAGGCAAGCCAGGAGUUGGGGGGGGGGGUUCUUGAGGAACAGGCCUUGGAGCUGGUCUUGGGUCUUCCUUGGAUGUAAAGUAGAAGAAACGCUCAAUCUCUGUGUACUAAUGGUUGUCUAAUAGACAAUAGAAAGUCUGGC